AAGUCGUAACAAGGUUUCCGUAGGUGAACCUGCGGAAGGAUCAUUACAAAUCGCGUCACCACCAUGUGUGUGUGUGAUUGCAUCUUAUUGACCCUGUUGAAUUGUGCGAGUGGGGGCGAAUGGCCAGCCAAUCACCCACCAUACAGACAACAUUCAAUGUAUUAUUCAUAUAUUGCAUUGGAUGGAUGUGUGUGUGUGUGAUUGGGCGAUUCGCCCCCUCUUUCCUUUAAUGGACUCUGAAUGGACAAGAGAGAGGUGCGCACACACAACAUAUACACAUACAUAUAUACCCUAUAUGUGUAUGUAUGUGUGGUAUGCGCCCCCUCGUCAUUAUCAUUGAUAACCAAUGAGCAACUUUUAACAAUGGAUCUCUUGGCUCUU
RNAcentral lists this unclassified non-coding RNA (381 nucleotides) under fungal sp. RNAcentral's name for it is "partial internal transcribed spacer region". The stretch from base 1 to 46 matches the Rfam family "Eukaryotic small subunit ribosomal RNA", at positions 1786 to 1831 of the family's 1831-position model. The record is from RNAcentral. Lineage: Eukaryota; Fungi.